Molecule: long non-coding RNA, 1630 nt
Organism: Gadus morhua (Atlantic cod)
Lineage: Eukaryota; Metazoa; Chordata; Actinopteri; Gadiformes; Gadidae
Exons: 6
Source: RefSeq, a predicted model, not a curated record
AGGGGGCGGGCACUCAGUCCACAUGGAGGGGGCCGGCACUCCGCCCACAUGGAGGGGGCGGAUACUCAUGCUGCGUUCGAGUAUUCUCUGCGAACCGACUCGGAUCUCGGAUCUGACGCCACGCCCGUCCACAUCGAGGGGGCGGCCACUCAGUUCACAUUGAGGACUGGUCAAACAGCAUGUGCAGCAUCUGAUCCCGUUUCUGACCUGAAAUUAGCUGAAAUGUACCUGAAAUUACCUGAAAUUAGAGUGUGCCCGCCCGAGCUAGUGAUGCCUAAAACAUGCAAAGACACGUCAGUGUAAUUGUGAAUGGCGAGAGCCCUGAAAUACAGCUGGACAGCAGCGGUCUACAUCACUGCCCCUUCUGCAGAUACAAAGGGUCAAAAUGUGAUAUCGACCAUCACAUUAAAUGCCAUGCCUCGGUUAAAUACAGAGGUCUGCAGAGGAGCUUUCAGGAAGCAGGAAGAGAAGACGGGAGGAAAAAAAAGCUACAGGAUAAAGAUCUCUGCACAAAAAGGGCUAGAGUUGCUCCAACAGCAUCCAGCUCUGAAGGAUCAGGUCAUGUAUAGACUGUUAAUCCAGACAAAACUGAAGACCAGAAACUGGAACCUGGGAACCUGGAAGAUUAUGUUGUCCUGAAGGACACAAUUCAGGCAGCAGCAUGGUGCCAGUUACAGUCCUUCAAGGACAGCGUUUCUCUCCCAGAGGUCAUUGGGAUGGAAGGUUGGGAGCAGAUGGCAGCUUCAACACAGCGCAAAUCCCAUGACGGCGGGGAUGAGGAAGAAACGUGGAAACCAUUCCAAUUCUCAUUCAGAUUACAUACUGACUAUGAACUGUUCUGUGUGGAGAGGAUGGACAGGAGAAACCUGAAGGUGUUUGCCUCUUUUGAGUCAAACACCUCUCCCCCUCCCCGUCCCCCCUCCCCGUGACGCCUGCGCCACACGACUCCAAUGUAGUCUGAUGAUGCAGCAUAAUGGCGGCGCUUGGCAGCUAUGGCGGCGGUGACGGCGAUGUCGGGCGACAGAGCGUGAAGCAAGAGUUGCAUCCACCUCACUGAGGAAGGCGUCAGUGUGUUCCCCUUUUGUUGUUUGACUUUGUUUGUUCUACUCUUUAUUGAUUUAUCUUUUAUGUUUAUAGUUUACAAUCAAUUUUUUGUAGUUGUUAUUUUUUAAUUGUUUUGUUGAAUAAAAAGACAGUUGUUAUUGCUCCUGUGAUUGGUGUAACUUAAUGUGCUUCACACAUGUAGCUUUUCAUUAUGUCUAUUGAGGUACAUUUUUUGCCCUUAGAUGUGGUCACUUCGUUAUUCCUCACAUUACAUCUGUUAAGGUCAUACCUUUGGGUCCCAGUCUUCAUAGUUCCCCAAAUCUUAUUUUGGCUCUUACUGGGCCUGUUACUCACGGGUACAGGAGUUCGGACACGUUGCAUUGUUUACAGGCAAGGGUGGAUUACCGCACGGGCACACCGGGCACAUGCCCAGGGGCCCAAGGGCGGCCCUAAACCAGAGCUUCUGUGUGAAGUCGCUGUUAGUAACUUUUAAUGUUGCAUUGUCAAAGCAAUCAGUAGAGAAAUACAAAAAUUCAAGCGAAAACGGCAAUAGUAGGGCUAUUAAUACUGAGUAAAAAAAAAAAAA